UAGAAAACUCUCGCACCGUUCAAGUCUUCAAGAGAGAGAAUCCCCAAAAUAAACUUCUUAAACGACAACGAAACAAAUCGUUUUCGCCUCGCCAAAAUCAUCCACGCUUUCUCUGCAACUUCGUCGUCGAAGGAAGCCGCCACUGUUGCGUUUGGGAUUAUUGAGUUUACUUGGGUUUUUCUUCUUGUCUUCUUCUCAAUUGGGCGCUGGGAAGUGGGUCAUUUGAUUUUUGUAGAUAUCUGUAUUAUUUAAGAAUUGGAAGCAAAUUCCAAUUUGGGUUUCGCGAUUGUUUGUAAUUCUCUCGGGAUAAUAGGGUUUUACUUGAAUUUGUAUGUAACUCUGGGAAGAGUUUAGGGCUUUGAACUGGGUUUUUAGGAUUUUUCAAGGGACGGUUGAUUGGUCAGAAGUGAACUAUAGGAGAGGCCAAGAAAAAAAAAAAAAAGUGGAGCUGAUUUUUGAUAGGGUAUUGUCGUCCAAGCAGAAGAGGGCUUUAUUGGGUUAUUUUGUUUUGAUUUGACUUGAGAAGUUUCCAGUGCGAAUUCAUGGUUGUGAGUUGGGUUUUUCUUUUUGUGAAUUUUGGGUCUUUAUGGGAAUAGAGAUUUUGGCUCAUUUGGGGUUUUUGCAAUUGAAUUAUAGGGAAACUGAAAAUUUUCAUAUUCAAUUAGUGAAUCUUGGAGGCUUGAUGUUGCAGUUCUGAUUAGAAGUUGGAAUUAGGAUGGAUGAAUCUCAGGGCAGCUCCAAUUCAUUGCCACCUUUCCUUUCAAAGACAUAUGAGAUGGUGGAUGAUCCUUCUACGGAUUCAGUAGUUUCAUGGAGUCAGAGCAAUAAAAGCUUUAUUGUAUGGAAUCCGCCAGAGUUUGCAAGGGAUUUGCUCCCGAGAUUCUUUAAGCACAAUAACUUCUCAAGCUUCAUCAGACAGCUCAACACAUAUGGCUUUAGAAAGAUUGAUCCAGAACAAUGGGAAUUUGCAAAUGAAGAUUUUAUAAGAGGUCAACCACACCUUAUGAAGAACAUUCACAGGAGGAAGCCGGUUCACAGCCAUUCUAUGCAAAAUCUCCAAGGACAGGGAUCUUAUACAUUAACUGAUCCAGAAAGACAGACUUUGAGGGAUGACAUAGAGAGGCUUCAACGUGAGAAAGAAGUGCUUAUCUCGGACUUACAGAGGCAUGAACAGGAGAGAAAGGGAUUUGAGAUGCAAAUGCAGGCUUUGAAGGAGAAAUUGCAACAGAUGGAGCGAAGGCAGCAAACUAUGGUGUCUUUUGUGGCUCAAGUCUUACAAAAACCUGGGCUUGCUCUGAAUCUCAUGUCGCAGUUGGAACCAGGCCAUGAUAGAAAGAGAAGGUUGCCAAGAAUUGGUUAUUUCUAUGACGAGGCCAGCAUGGAGGAGAAUCAAAUGGUUACUUGCCAAACUAGAGAGAAUGUGGAUAGUAAUACUGCUGCACUGUCAAACAUGGAACAGUUUGAGCAAUUGGAGUCAUCUCUGACAUUUUGGGAGAGUAUUGCAAAUGACGUCGAAAACAAAAUGCAAAGCAAUUCAAACUUGGAGUUGGAUGAAUCUACAAGCUGUGCUGAAAGCCCAGCCAUAUCUUGUGUACAAUUUAGUGUUGAUAUUCGGCCCAAGUCUCCUGCUAUCGACAUGAAUUCUGAGCCUGCUGUAGCUUCUGUUCCAGAGCCUGAACCCCUGAAGGAACAAACAACUGGAACUGCUCCUACUGUGGCAGCUGGAGUCAAUGAUAUAUUCUGGGAACAGUUUUUGACUGAGAAUCCUGGUUCAACUGAUGCACAGGAAGUUCAAUCUGAAAGAAAGGAUUCUGGUGAAAGAAAAAAUGAGAUGAAACCCAGUGAUCAGGGAAAAUUUUGGUGGAACAUGAGGAAUGUAAAUAAUCUUGCUGAACAGAUGGAGCAUCUUACUCCUGCAGAGAGAACUUGAAAUUUGCUUUGAUUGUUUUUCUGGCUCUGGUGCCUCAGAGCCUCACUUGUAAUAAGUUUAGGUAAAAUGCUUCAUGAUGGGAUUCUCAUCAUUAGUCUCAAGAGCGACUAGAUACAAGCAGAAGGGGGAUGCUCAACCCUGAUCGAAUCAUGAAGGAGCUGGAAGCCAGCCCAGGCGGAGGAUAAGCAAGAUAGUGAACACCCAUGGUAGACCUAACUGCUUCAUUAGUUAGCAGUCUGCAUCACUGUUGGACGCACAAUAAAUAUGAGAGCAAUAGAUAUGGUUUAGUUUAUACCAGGAUGCCAAGUCACGGUAUGAGUCUGGAUAGGAGUGAUGGUCGGGGACAUCUCUUGUUGUGGUCGUAGUUUCUUACUCUGGAGAUGAUGGAAUUAACAGUACUAGCUUGUUGAGUCAAGCAGGUAGUGCUGAAAAUGGAAGCCCAACUUAAGAGAUCUAACGUUGUUGAAUCUUGCAGGUUGAUUUCAAACCAACUUGAUAUUUUUUAACAUGCAAAUUAACAUGUUUUUCUUUUUAAGAAUAAAAAGAACUGGGCGAUUUAUGCAUGUUAGUGUGUGUCUUUUGAAGGUGACUGCCGGGGAAUUUUCGUUUCGGCUCCAAGGGGUAAUCUUUGGAGACAUGGCGAAAACAGAGUCUGCAGUCAUAUUGGAUUAUAUAUGCUGGCUUGGCAUCUAAUCAUUGAAUUUGGUGAUCAUUCAUUAAGUGGUGGCAGAUAAAACCAAAUUGCAAAAUUCAAUGACCAUUUGUUUUGGUGCUUUUUUCUCCCCUUCUAUUUCUUUUUUUAAAUAUAUAUUUUCUAUUUGUUUUUGGGCAUCAUGCUGAUGGCCUGAAUGCUCCAAAAUCCUGAAACUGAAGCCUUUGCAACUGAACCUUGCUCUGUUUUCCAUGCCAGCCUGUCUCUCUCCCUAAAGAUACAAAUUUAAAACAAUAGAAAUGUACUUGAUGUUAGGUGAAAAAAUAUUGCCCUUAUCCUGAGCUCUGUUUUAUGUGGUCUCUUUUCUUCAUCAGCAGUCAAAUGAAUAUGAAUGCAUAAUCCUGUAUCAUGACAUUAUGCAAGUCAAAAUCUAGUUGCAACUUGCAAGGCCACUCUCAUAUAGCAGGCGGUUAGAUUAGCAGUAGCCACGCUAGCUAGAUAGCUACAAGCUGACUUCUGUACUGCAAGCUUUCUUAAUCUGGUGUACAUAUGUUCCUUAAUUGUAUCAAUCAAAUCCUGUUUUCUGAAGA
Molecule: RNA transcript, 3172 nt
Organism: Manihot esculenta (cassava)
Lineage: Eukaryota; Viridiplantae; Streptophyta; Magnoliopsida; Malpighiales; Euphorbiaceae
Gene name: heat stress transcription factor A-4a
Exons: 4
Source: RefSeq, a predicted model, not a curated record